AACCAUCCUGGGGAGAUUUAGGCCAGGUAAACCUAAUUCUUAGCUCUUUGUCCAACUUAGGCAAGAAGUAGCCACUAAACUCAGUCUUGUCAAGACUGAGGCAGUUCUGGGCAUAGGAAGAGGUGAGUCCCUAGGCACCUGGGGCACUUUCAAGGCAAACAGGGAGGCACUUCUGGAAUUUAGGUGCCCUUAGGGCUAGGUGUCAAAUGAAUGUGGGAUUCCAGGACCAUUGUUUGGAUCUUGCAUGUUUUAUGUGGGACAGUCAGGAUUCUGGCCCCUGUGUGCUUUAUUGCUCUUUUAUCUGUCUCUCCAAAGUAUGGGAAUUCAAACACACUCUUUGUAUACUCUGACAGUGAGUCACUUGGACCUCAAAUGUUAGCUUUUGGGUACUGCUUCUGGAGGAAUUUUCAAACUUCUGUUUUAUGGAAGAAGCACAGGUCUCCUCAAGUCUGCUCAACCAUCUGAUGUGCUGAGAACUUGAGGGUCAACAAUUGCUGCCCAUCAUCACAAAGUGGAUGCUGCCAAGUCUGCAGGUUUCCACCAACGACAGUGCAUUACCUAUCACCAGGUCUCACUCCUUGGAGAUACUUAAUGCCCAGCUGGACAUGGUCCUGAACAACCUGCUCUAGCUGAGCCUGCUUGAGUGGGGGGCUGGAUGAGACAGCGUCCAGAGAUCCCUUCCCACCUCAACCAUUCCAUGAUUCUACUUACAGAAACUGCUUCACUAAAACUGACAGGUUUUCUUGAUGUGUUUCCUGAGGGCACAACCGCCCACCUUUCUGGUUCUGCCCAGUUUUGUCUUGACACAUUACAUAAUACUCAACAACUAUUUUAAGUUGGGGAAAAAAUCACUUUCUUCAUAGAUUAGUCCGUUUAGUUAACUAGUAUCCAAGUAAAUUAUACACAACUCAGAGGAAUAACUGAACUUAUCCCAAAACAAAUGUAUAUAUUGCUUUGGAUGAAACAGUGGUGUAAGAAGGGCUGGGCUGCUUAUUUAAACUCUUUCUGUAUUUUGUCUUCCUCUGCCUUGUCUUCACACUGUAAAAUAAAUAAAUAAAUAAAUAA
Non-coding RNA from Phasianus colchicus (ring-necked pheasant), 1065 nucleotides. The record is from RefSeq and is a predicted model, not a curated record. Lineage: Eukaryota; Metazoa; Chordata; Aves; Galliformes; Phasianidae.